RNAcentral lists this transfer RNA (73 nucleotides) under Parupeneus chrysopleuron (yellow-striped goatfish). RNAcentral describes it as "tRNA-Asp". It matches the Rfam family "tRNA". Rfam says of the family: Transfer RNA (tRNA) molecules are approximately 80 nucleotides in length. The record is from RNAcentral. Lineage: Eukaryota; Metazoa; Chordata; Actinopteri; Syngnathiformes; Mullidae.
AAGACGCUAGUAGAACGCAUCAUUACACUGCCUUGUCAAGGCAGAAUUGUGGGUUAGAAUCCCGCGCGUCUUA